Molecule: ribosomal RNA, 360 nt
Filed under: uncultured bacterium
Lineage: Bacteria
Description: partial 16S ribosomal RNA
Rfam family: Bacterial small subunit ribosomal RNA
Source: RNAcentral
CCUACGGGGGGCAGCAGUGAGGAAUAUUGGUCAAUGGGCGCGAGCCUGAACCAGCCAAGCCGCGUGAGGGAAGACGGUCCUAUGGAUUGUAAACUUCUUUUGUCGGGGGGCAAAAGCCGCCACGCGUGCCUGUCCGAGAGUACCUGAAGAAAAAGCAUCGGCUAACUCCGUGCCAGCAGCCGCGGUAAUACGGAGGAUGCGAGCGUUAUCCGGAUUUAUUGGGUUUAAAGGGUGCGUAGGCGGACGAUUAAGUCAGCGGUAAAAUCCCGGGGCUCAACCUCGGCGAGCCGUUGAAACUGGUUGUCUUGAGAGUGUGAGAGGUAUGCGGAAUGCGUGGUGUAGCGGUGAAAUGCUUAGAGA